RNAcentral lists this ribosomal RNA (393 nucleotides) under Eucampia sp. Its description in RNAcentral is "partial small subunit ribosomal RNA". It matches the Rfam family "Eukaryotic small subunit ribosomal RNA", at positions 582 to 975 of the family's 1831-position model. Lineage: Eukaryota; Bacillariophyta; Thalassiosirophyceae; Eucampiales; Eucampiaceae. The record is from RNAcentral.
AUUCCAGCUCCAAUAGCGUAUAUUAAAGUUGUUGCAGUUAAAAAGCUCGUAGUUGAAUUUCUGGUGGGAGUGUACAGUCCGACACUGAGUGUUGGUUCUUGUGUGUCUCCGGCCAUCCUUGGAGUGAAUCUGUCUGGCAUUUAGUUGUUGGGCAGAGUAUCUCCAUCGUUUACUGUGAGGAAAGGAAAGUGUUCAAAGCAGGCUUACGCCGUUGAAUCUUUUAGCAUGGAAUAAUAAGAUAGGACUUGGUAUCCUAUUUUGUUGGUUUUCGGGAUCUAAGUAAUGAUUGAUAGGGAUAGUUGGGGGUGCUAGUAUUUUGCGGCCAGAGGUGAAAUUCUGUGAUUCGCGAAAGACUAACUUAUGCGAAAGCAUUCACCAAGGAUGUCUUCAUUA